CAGAGACUCAACACGAUAAAUACAUCAUCCAGGAAGAGAAACUAGAGCUGCUCAUUGCUAAAACCAGAAGAGCAAGAUGUUGGAGAAUUAAUAUCUGCUAGAGAAAUAUGCAUCUCAGCCUGGACUAAUUGGUGCCUGGAACAUGAUGGUAGGUCUCCUACUCACAAAUUGGAUGGUGAUGGAAAGGCCAUCCUGAUGAGCCUUCCAAAAGUUUUGUCAGAAGACAGAGUGAUGUUGGAUAACACUACUGAGCCACAACUUCCAUCCACGCAAGACUUAAUAUAUUUCCUGGGACAAAAGUACCUAGGAAACCAAAAGCCUUUCACCUUAUCCCUUGAAGCUAAUUUCCCUUUGGCUGACACUGUGCAGCAAAGUGUAUUAAUAUCCAUGAUGGGUGAUCAGCCUUCAAUAAAUAAUGCUGGUUGUUCUAAUGUACCUGGCAUGAAAUAUUC
Molecule: long non-coding RNA, 452 nt
Filed under: Homo sapiens (human)
Lineage: Eukaryota; Metazoa; Chordata; Mammalia; Primates; Hominidae
Description: HSALNT0012808
Source: RNAcentral